GAAAGCUAAAAGUUAUAUGGGUAAUUUAAAAGAUAAAAAAAACCUAAAGGCUAUAGAAAUAAUACUGUAAUAAGUACUACUCUACUGCUGUAAAUAGAUGAAUCUAUACUAAUAGAGUAGUCAGUACUAAUAGAGUAGUAAUUUUCAACCCAUUCGUUCUAAUUUCUCUCUCCCUUUGUCUUCUCUAUUUAUUCUUUCAUUUCAGUCCAAUUCACGUUCACCUGCAAUUUGCUAAUGAUGAAUCUAAUUUUCCAAUUAAACAAAAAUGAAAAAUUUUCCCCAAUAAAUAUUACAUCUAUCAAUUUACAUUGCAACGGUAUAAAUGGAUUUUCAAUCUAUAUAGAGCAGUUAUGUGGGGAUUAAACAAUUGAAGCAAUCAAGCAAAUAAUCUGAUUAAGGUGGAGAUAAAUAAAAGUGGAGUUAAAUAUAGCAAGGGAAGAUCUGAAAGUUCAAAGCUUUGUGGGAAGAUCGAAGAUCUCAUAUGUUCAAAGCUUGGUAAUUGUUUUUUCUUUUUUAGAAUAUUAAUAUUUUUUCAAGAGGAUUACAAAUAUAAAAUUGGAUAUUGAUAAUCUAUCAGGUGCUUUUGUUUCUUUUUAAAUAUUUUAUAUACUUGCUCUAUUUUUAAAUGCUAUGUUGACUAGAAAGCAUUUGUCUGAGUCUCAAAAAAAAAAAAAAAAAGAAACGGGAAGAAGAGUUACAAAAAUCACAAGAAGGAGUUCUUGAUAAAUUUGUGAUUUUUGGGCCCCUAUAUUUAAUGGGCCCCAGGCAUUUGCACUUCCAAACAACCCUCAAAAUCGAGCCUGACGAUAUGUUAUAUUUUUAUUUUGCCUAAGACCCAAAAAUAUGCCAGUAACGGCAGUGUAUUUAAAAUGCUAUGAGAGACAACAAUUUUACAAAAGCUUAUUUUCCAAGUAUUUUACAUGAACUCAUUUCUUUAUAUAUGUUAGAAAUAGCUAAUGAAAAUUAAGUUCCAAUUUGUUGACCGAAUUAUUUUAAAAAAAGUCAACUCUAAUGAAUCUUUCUAAAUAAGAAUCAAUCUCUGAAUUGUUUAAAGAGGCCAAACACAGAUAACAGCUGUCAAGCUAGCAACUUCAACCAAUCAUUUUAAAAAAAAUAGCGGGUAAGUAAUUUUAGCUUAUUUUGAUGGAAAUAAAAAAUUUGAUAUUCAAACCAGUUUAUGCUAGUGUUUGAUAAACUAGCUAGUUGAAACAUCUUAUUAAUAUGAAUAAGUUGUUUUAGAACAAGCUGCUCAUAGCAGCGGGUUUAAAAUCAGCUAAUCAAACCAGUUAAUAAAAUCAAAAUCAGUCACUAUAGUUAACUAUUAGCUACCUCAGCACCUUCUCAUAUAUGCAUUGCUAGUAAGAUUGGUAUACAAAUAAAAAAGGGGUAAAUUUAUUAGGAUGCACUAAGAUAAAAAAAAGUUUAAGCAAAUCAAAUGGAAUAGAAUAAAUAACAAAAGAGGUGAAGAAAUAUAAGAUAAUUAAGUCUUCUUUUUUGAGUUUUCACCGAAAAUUAGUCAAAAAACUUAUUUUUGAUUUUUUCAAAUUGGUAUAGAUUUAACUCAAAUUUAGUGUUUGGCAAACAAGAAAAUUUAAAUUUUGAAUUUGAGUCAAAUCCACCAUUAUAAUAAAUGUGAAUAAUAUAAUUUUUUUAUAAUAAUAUUAAUUUUUAAUUAACUAUAAAUAAUACUAAUUUAAAGGAGUUUUUUCUAGAAUAAUACCAACUUUAGUUUAUUAGCUAAUUUACCAAUUUUUUUUGUCAUAUAAUCUCCUAUAGUUUUAUUUUUAACAUAUUAGAGAUAUUCUAGAAAAACACCCCAAAUUCAAUAUUAUUAAUGGUUAAUCAAAAGUUGGUAUUUAUAGGGAAAUAGGCAAAAAAUGGUAUUAUUCUUGACAAUUUUUUUUUAAUUUUUAAUUGGUUUGUUUAACUGAACUUGGGUUUUUUGAUUCUCGUUACCUACAGGUAGAAAAAGUUUUGUUUAACUGAACUUGGGUUUUUUAUUCUCGUUACCUACAGGUAGAAAAAGUGAUUUUAAAACUUUUUAAUUAAUUUGUUUAACUAAAUUUUGAACUUGCAUCUUAACAGUAAGUGGUUAAUUUUAAAAACUAAUUUGUGCUAAAUAUUUCAAUUUGGAUGUUAUUCUAUUAUAUGAUCUGGAUUUUUACUGAAAUAAAUUUCAACUCCUAAAUUAACUCAUGAUUAUCAGUAGUUGAAUGUUCUUAUAAAUUAUUACUUUUAAUUUGUAUCCCAUAUUGUGUAGCAUACAUGCAGUAAUAUCAUUGAUGUGCAUACAUUCAUUAACUAGAAAACAAACCUCCUCCUCUAAUUGGAAGCAAUGAUUACAAGGAUAAUAAAGCUAACAGUAAAGAGUCCUUGCAAUAUAGCCUUGACAUAAUUAAAUCGGCAACAAUGAACUUCUCCGAUGAGAAUAUACUUGGUGAAGGAGGAUUUGGAGCUGUUUAUAAGGUACUUUCGACCAUUCGUAAAAAAAAUAUAGAAGUAUUAUAUAAUUUUCGACCAUUCGUAAAAAAUUAUUUAAACAUUUUCUACUAACAAGGAUGUUAUAAUAUUUUAUACUAAUUGAGCAAAUAAAUAUUUGAAAAACAUUCAAGUUCUUAUUACAAAAUAUUUAUUAAGUCUUUUAAUUUUUAAAUUAUAGAUACAACAACCACGUUUCAAAUUGCAUAAACUGACAAAGGUCAAAAUCACCUAAUGUUUAGAAAUAUAAAAGAAAAUUCCAAAUCAAAUAAUUAAUUACUCACGAUAGCUAAUAUAUAAUUUUAAAAAAGAUGUAAAUGGGUCAUGGGUCGGAUCUGAGUCUCAAACGUGUGGACCCGGACCGGAUCGGACCUAAACCCUAAGGUCAUGAUUCAUGAACCCAGAUCCGACCCAGCUCCAUAAUAUCAAAAAAUCGGUGGAUCUAGACCCUUAAAUUAGGGUCGAGUCGAAUCUAAACCCUUAGAGUCCGACCCAUGCCCAUCCCUAGUCAUGAUGCAUCUUUUGUAAAAAAGCUCCGAUCUUCAACUAUGUUUUUCUUCAUAAUUUUAUUACUAUCUAUUAUCACAUUUUGCAAGUGGUAAUAGAUCAUGAGUAUUUAAUACAUGGAGCUACAACCAUGCAUCAACUCAAGAUAUUGGCCGGCUAGCUUGGUUCUUUGAUAUGGUUUCAGAUGCUAACGGUACAGACCCUCAUUAUUACAAGUAUGAUAUUUGGCAUAACGGAUGAGGGUAGCAUAGCCCAAAGGCUCUUAUGUGAUGAGUGUGACAGAGUAUACAUUUUUAUUAUCAUUUUCACUUUUUGAUACCAACUGAAAAGGCCAUAUAAGAGUGUUGUUAGAAAUGGAAAAAUGGAAAUUUGGCAUCAACAAUGUAACCAUUAAUUCACUUGUCCGAUGUGUUGGAAAAAUAACACAUAUAUCAUCCCACAUCGUAAAAUUAAAGAGAGAUUGACUAACAUAUAAGCGUAAAGGGCUAUUCUAUUACCAAUCGGUUUAAUUAGGAUGAAAGGUCAUCGGCUUGUGUGCAGGUCAUUUUCCUCUUGUUUGGAUAUUGUUGUGUACAGGUUUUAUGACAAAUUUAUUAGUGAGAAUAAUUUUAUAUUUGGAUUUUUUUAAUAAUUCAACCUUCACCUUUAGUCUGUUAUCAGCAUAAUUUUUAUUUUUCAAUAAUCCAAUAUUUGUCCUUAGUUUUCUAUCAACAUGCCUUAUAACUAUAUUGAUAGCAAGCUAAGGAAAAAAUUUUAAUUUUUUUGAAAAAAUUUUAAUUUUUAAAAAAAUAAUUCAAAUAUGAGAUUAUUCAUAGCGUAUGGAAGAAAAGUUUGAGUAUUAAUGUUAAUUUUUCAUUUAAAAAUUGAUGUAGUAGUCUCUAUUCUGAAUAUACAGGGCAGGCUUAAAGAUGGGCAACAAGGUGUUAAGAGGCUCUCAGAAGACUCUCGUCAAGGUCACAGAUAAUUUAGCACUGAAGUCCAAUUAGUACCAAAUCUACAACACAGAAACUUAGUCAAACUCCUCAGAUUUUGCUUAGAAGGAGAAGAAACGUUACUUGUUUAUGAAUUUGUACCCAACUUAAGUUUGGACAGAUUUCUAUUUGAUCCAAUUAAGCGUACGUAUUUGGACUGGGAAACACGGCUUAAAAUCAUUCUAGGAAUUUCGAGAGGACCAAUUUACCUUCAUGAAGAUUCUCGUCUCAAAAUUGUGCAUAGGGACUUGAAGGUAGGGAUAGUCAUGGGUGCAGGAUUCUGUUGGACCCGUCUCAGAUUCGCCCCUUUUUUAAAGGUCUGGGUCUUAUUUUUUGAGACCCAUUGGAUUCGGGUAGGAUCUGGAUCCAGGAAAUAUUUGACGGGUCCGAGUUCGGAUCUCAAGGUGCAGACCCGGACCCAGACCCGACCUCGAGACCCAGCCCUUAGACUGGCCCCUCAAACUUGGACUCGGACCCUAUACAAUUAAAUAUUUUUUUUACUUUUUAGUAAUUAUUUUGUAUUUGAAUUUCAUGAAAUCGAACAAAUGUUUGUAAUACGAUAAUAAGUUGUUUACAAAAAUACAAAAAGACUCGAAAAAGGUUCAAUUUUGACAAUCAAAGAGAUUUUGUUUAAGACCCAUUAAGGACUCAUCAAAGACCCUAGACCCGUCAAAUCUGGGGGGUCUGGGUCUAGGUCUGAAAAUUUUGGACCCUUAGGGUCCGGAUUCGAGUCUGGAUCUAUAAAAAAUAAAAGGGUCCGGCUCCGGGUUUUCGGGUCUGGCCAGACCCGCUCUAGACCCGCCACAUGACCAUCCACAAGCAAAUGCUAGCAAAAUUUUUGGAACAUUGUAAGCUCUAUAUUCUUUUCAUUUCUUGUUUGAUUAUUGAAAAUGAUGCUAUAUUAGAGUUUAAACAAUGUCUUUCAAACUUCAAAAUUACCAAGAUCGAGUGUAUGAAGUCUUGUGACGAACAAAUUACACUUUCAAUGAAAACGAUGUUUGUAAGCGAAACUAAUGUAAUAGAAUGACACAAAGAUUUAAUAAGGUUCACCCAAUUAAGGUUAUGUCCUCCGGUGUGUAGUAUCUCACUUAUAUUAUCACAAAGGAGUUUAAAUAACUCUCCAUGGAGAAUUACAAUAGAGAAUAGACU
Long non-coding RNA from Amaranthus tricolor (Joseph's coat), 5105 nucleotides. RefSeq lists it as uncharacterized. The transcript has 4 exons. NCBI's taxonomy places the organism in Eukaryota, Viridiplantae, Streptophyta, Magnoliopsida, Caryophyllales, Amaranthaceae. The record is from RefSeq and is a predicted model, not a curated record.